Molecule: ribosomal RNA, 341 nt
Filed under: Babesia vesperuginis
Lineage: Eukaryota; Apicomplexa; Aconoidasida; Piroplasmida; Babesiidae
Description: SSU rRNA
Rfam family: Eukaryotic small subunit ribosomal RNA
Source: RNAcentral
AUACGGGGCUUAAAGUCUUGUAAUUGGAAUGAUGGGAAUCUAAACCCCUUCCAGAGUAUCAAUUGGAGGGCAAGUCUGGUGCCAGCAGCCGCGGUAAUUCCAGCUCCAAUAGCGUAUAUUAAACUUGUUGCAGUUAAAAAGCUCGUAGUUGAACUUCUGCUGUCAGGUUUUCGUUCCUUUCGGGGUUUCGUCAACCUGGUGGCUUUUUUCUGGGUGAAUUUAGCUUCGGCUUAAUUUCCCAGUAUUUUACUUUGAGAAAAUUAGAGUGCUUCAAGCAGGCUUUUGCCGUGAAUACUUCAGCAUGGAAUAAUAAAGUAGGACUUUGGUUCUAUUUUGUUGGA